CCCUUAGAUGUUCUGGGCCGCACGCGUGCUACACUGAGUGGAUCAGCGGGUCAGGUUGCGCGAAAGUGUUUCCUAAUCUUUAAAUCCGCUCGUGAUGGGGAUUGACGGUUGCAAUUUUCCGUCAUGAACGAGGAAUACCUUGUAAGCGCGGGUCAUCAUCCCGCGCUGAAUACGUCCCCGCCCUUUGUACACACCGCCCGUCGCUCCUACCGAUUGAGUGGUCCGGUGAGGCUUUGGGAUCUGAGCGGAAAGAGCGUUUCGCUGUUUCUGCCCGGAAAACUCAGUCGAACCUUAUCAUUUAGAGGAAGGAGAAGUCGUAACA
Molecule: ribosomal RNA, 322 nt
Filed under: uncultured eukaryote
Lineage: Eukaryota
Description: partial 18S ribosomal RNA
Rfam family: Eukaryotic small subunit ribosomal RNA
Source: RNAcentral